AUGGACGCAAGUCUGAUGGAGCAACGCCGCGUGAGUGAAGAAGGGUUUCGGCUCGUAAAGCUCUGUUGGUAGUGAAGAAAGAUAGAGGUAGUAACUGGCCUUUAUUUGACGGUAAUUACUUAGAAAGUCACGGCUAACUACGUGCCAGCAGCCGCGGUAAUACGUAGGUGGCAAGCGUUGUCCGGAUUUAUUGGGCGUAAAGCGAGUGCAGGCGGUUCAAUAAGUCUGAUGUGAAAGCCUUCGGCUCAACCGGAGAAUUGCAUCAGAAACUGUUGAACUUGAGUGCAGAAGAGGAGAGUGGAACUCCAUGUGUAGCGGUGGAAUGCGUAGAUAUAUGGAAGAACACCAGUGGCGAAGGCGGCUCUCUGGUCUGCAACUGACGCUGAGGCUCGAAAGCAUGGGUAGCGAACAGGAUUAGAUACCCUGGUAGUCCAUGCCGUAAACGAUGAGUGCUAAGUGUUGGGAGGUUUCCGCCUCUCAGUGCUGCAGCUAACGCAUUAAGCACUCCGCCUGGGGAGUACGACCGCAAGGUUGAAACUCAAAGGAAUUGACGGGGGCCCGCACAAGCGGUGGAGCAUGUGGUUUAAUUCGAAGCAACGCGAAGAACCUUACCAGGUCUUGACAUCCAGUGCAA
Molecule: ribosomal RNA, 634 nt
Filed under: Lactobacillus gasseri
Lineage: Bacteria; Bacillati; Bacillota; Bacilli; Lactobacillales; Lactobacillaceae
Description: bacterial SSU rRNA
Rfam family: Bacterial small subunit ribosomal RNA
Source: RNAcentral